AACGAACGCUGGCGGCAUGCCUAAUACAUGCAAGUCGAACGAGACCUUCGGGUCCAGGGGCGCACGGGGGCGUAACGCGUGGGAACCUGAACUUAGGGUCGGAAUAACUCUCCGAAAGGGGUGCCAAUACGGGACAAUGUCUUCGGACCAAAGAUUUAUCGCCUUUGGGUGGGCCCGCGUUGUAUUAGCUAGUUGGUAGGGUAAAAGCCUACCAAGGCGGCGAUCCAAAGCUGGUCUGGGAGGAUGAUCAACCACCCUGGGACGGGGACCCGGCCCGAACGCCUCCGGGUGGCCGCAGUGGUGACGAUUGGACACUGGGCGAAAGCCUGAUCCCGCCGUGCCGCGUGAGUGAUGAAGGCCUUAGGGUUGUAAAGCUCUUUUACCCGGCAUGAUAUUGCCGGUACCAGGAGAAUAGGCUCCGGCAACCUCCGU
Molecule: ribosomal RNA, 432 nt
Filed under: uncultured bacterium
Lineage: Bacteria
Description: partial 16S ribosomal RNA
Rfam family: Bacterial small subunit ribosomal RNA
Source: RNAcentral